AUGUCGAGCUCCACUUCAGCCUCCCGCCCCUCGUGGACCCAAUAUGGUCCACUUCCCAUGGAGCGAUGUCCUGACUACCCACGUAGCGCACCACUGGUAUGGUUAACUUCGAAGGAGGUCAAGAAUGGCAACUAUGGGAGUGAGUUCGUGAAAUGCGAGAGCAAGCCAGAGGGGCAGAUCGUGAAGAAAUGCACACAUUUUGAAUGGAUGGAUGACUAUGUUAAGCGGAUUCAAUUCAAUGAGUCCCCAACCCGGGAGCUCAAUUUGCCGUCAGCACCAAUGAAUUUGGUCUCUGAAAGUGCUGCUCUAACAGUUGGGGAUGCAGAUCUGAAGGGGGAAUUAAAUAAGAUGAACAAGAACUUGAAGAAGAUGAUUCAAUUGAACAAGCAGGUGAAUCUAAUAGCUUUAGGAUUUUAUUUUUGUAUAGUUGCUCUAGGAAUUGCUUACUUGCUA
This 453-nucleotide ribosomal RNA is filed under the name Triticum aestivum (bread wheat). RNAcentral's name for it is "partial small subunit ribosomal RNA". Lineage: Eukaryota; Viridiplantae; Streptophyta; Magnoliopsida; Poales; Poaceae. The record is from RNAcentral.